UGGCUCUCGCAUCGAUGAAGAACGCAGCGAAAUGCGAUAAGUAAUGUGAAUUGCAGAAUUCAGUGAAUCAUCGAAUCUUUGAACGCACCUUGCGCCCUCUGGUAUUCCGGAGGGCAUGCCUGUUUGAGUGUCAUGAAGCCUCAACCCCCUCGGGUUCAUUCCUGAUUGGGUUGGAUUUGGGUGUCUGCCGCCUCACUGCGGCUCGCCUUAAAAGCCUUAGUUGGUGUCUCGGACGUCCUCUCUGGACCGACGGCGUAUUAGGUUCCGCUGUUGGCACGGGGUUGCACGGUUCUUGAAGCCUGCUCACAACCCGCCCUCGGGCACUACUCUUGACUUUGACCUCAGAUCAGGUAGGACUACCCGCUGA
RNAcentral lists this unclassified non-coding RNA (367 nucleotides) under uncultured fungus. RNAcentral's name for it is "partial contains 5.8S ribosomal RNA and internal transcribed spacer 2". The stretch from base 1 to 133 matches the Rfam family "5.8S ribosomal RNA", at positions 22 to 154 of the family's 154-position model. Lineage: Eukaryota; Fungi. The record is from RNAcentral.